CCUACGGGGCGCAGCAGUGGGGAAUAUUGGACAAUGGGCGAAAGCCUGAUCCAGCCAUGCCGCGUGUGUGAAGAAGGCCUUCGGGUUGUAAAGCACUUUCAGUGGGGAAGAAAGCCUUGGGGCUAAUACCCUCGAGGAAGGACAUCACCCACAGAAGAAGCACCGGCUAACUCCGUGCCAGCAGCCGCGGUAAUACGGAGGGUGCGAGCGUUAAUCGGAAUUACUGGGCGUAAAGCGCGCGUAGGCGGUCUGAUAAGCCGGUUGUGAAAGCCCCGGGCUCAACCUGGGAACGGCAUCCGGAACUGUCAGGCUAGAGUGCAGGAGAGGAAGGUAGAAUUCCCGGUGUAGCGGUGAAAUGCGUAGAGAUCGGGAGGAAUACCAGUGGCGAAGGCGGCCUUCUGGACUGACACUGACGCUGAGGUGCGAAAGCGUGGGUAGCAAACAGGAUUAGAUACCUUAGUAGUC
RNAcentral lists this ribosomal RNA (465 nucleotides) under Vreelandella stevensii. RNAcentral's name for it is "partial 16S ribosomal RNA". It matches the Rfam family "Bacterial small subunit ribosomal RNA", at positions 338 to 795 of the family's 1533-position model. The record is from RNAcentral. Lineage: Bacteria; Pseudomonadati; Pseudomonadota; Gammaproteobacteria; Oceanospirillales; Halomonadaceae.